AACGUGCCACGCCCACAUCAGCAAACAAGCAGGCACUUCUGCACACCCGUGUACACACCUCUCUAUUCUUUGAGCAUAUGUUUUUCUUCUCUCCCACUUGCCAGACACAAACAAGUCAAAAAAAAACAAGCCCGCAUCCACGCUCAUUCUGUUUUCCGUCUGCUGACUACCGCUGUGGGCGCAGCUCCUCGCCCCUUUUCGUUCGUUUCUGGCGUCAUCAAGUUGGUUUGCUAUCGUCUCUCUCAGUGUUAUCGUUUGACUUUUCGUCUUGCCUACCGUUCAACUGCCCUCUCUUCCUCUCGGGAUUGCUUCCCCAAUCACACACACACACACACACACACACACACACACACACACACGAAUCUGCGAUACCCGCGCAUUCCGAUCGUAGUUAUCCACAGGGGGAAGGGGGACCAGGACCGUAGGAAGACAAACAGGCAAGUGGAUAAAAAUCGAAAGACAGAAGACACGCAAACAAUAACAGUGCACGCGGUGCUACAGCACUUACGCAACAUGUGUGCGUGUGUGUGCGUGUGUGCCUACUACGGGGGUUGUACCGCAACCCAGGAAGUCCGCGCAGGCAGAAAAAGCUUGUCACCAUUGCCCGCGGCGCCUAGUUCGAUGGGGGAAGGGACACCGCUCUCAUUCGAUUCUACAGUGAGAGGAAGAAGGCCAUCUUUUUGGUAGUUUCUGCUGCGCUCUCCAUCUCCCUUUAUUUUAACUGGCUUGACGGAAAGGGGGACGGACUGCCAUCAGCGCUGUGCUGAUAGUUUCGACUAGUGUACCCAUAUACCUACUCCUUUGCGUACCUGUCUCCCUCGAUGACGGUAGGCUACAUCGCCACCCUUUCGCGUCUUG
RNAcentral lists this unclassified non-coding RNA (858 nucleotides) under Leishmania donovani. RNAcentral's name for it is "gene:unknown". The record is from RNAcentral. Lineage: Eukaryota; Euglenozoa; Kinetoplastea; Trypanosomatida; Trypanosomatidae.